AAUUAAUAAAUUAUAUUUUUUAUAUUUAAAAUUUUUUUUUAUUAAUAAAAAUAUUUUUAUUAAAUUUAUAAUUUUAGUAUUGUUAAAAGAAAAAAUAAUUUAAAUUAUAGUUUAAUUGUAUAUUGAUAGAAAUUUGAAAUAUUUUGAAAAAUARAAUUUUUAAAAAAGUAUAUUUUAUUUAUUGUACCUUGUGUAUCAGGGUUAAUUAAAAAAAUAAUAUAAAUUAAUAUUUUUCUCGAAUUGAAAAGAUCUAUUUAAUUUUAAAUUACUUUUAAUGUUUAAUAAUUAUUUUUAAUUUUUAAAUAGAAAUGAAAUGUUUUUCGUUUUUUAAGUUAUCUAGUUUUUUGAUAAAUAAAUUUAAUUUAAAUAUCAUUAAUUAAUUAUUUUAAUUAAUAAAAAUAAUUAUUUUUGAUAUAAAAGUUUUAAGGGAUUAGCUUUAAUUCUUAAUUUUAUAAUUGAUUUUAAAUUAUAUAAUUAUAUUUUAGGCUUAGAAUUAGUUUUAAUUUGAAAAUUGUAAUAAUUUUAUAAAUUAUAUAUAUAUAUAUAUAUAUAUAUAUAUAUAAAUUUUAUUUUUAAUUUAAUUUUUUAUUAAAAUAAUUUAAUUAAUAAUUAUUUAAUUUAAAUGAUGAUUAAAUUAGUAAAUAUUAUAAUUAUUUAUAAAUACAAAUUUAUAUGAAAGUUAAUUAUAAGGAAUUCGGCAAAAAAUUAAUUCGCCUGUUUAACAAAAACAUGUCUUUUUGAUAAAACAUAAAAAGUCUAAUCUGCUCAGUGAAAAUUUUAAAUAGCCGCAGUAUUCUAACUGUGCAAAGGUAGCAUAAUAAUUUGUUCUUUAAUUUAGGACUGGAAUGAAUGAUUUGACGUGAUUAAGACUGUCUUAUAAUUAUUAAUUAUUGAAUUUAAUUUUUGAGUUAAAAAGCUUAAAUUUUAUUAGAGGACGAGAAGACCCUAUAGAGUUUUAUAAUUAAAUUUAUUUUAUUAAUUAAUUUAUUUUUAUGAAAUAAAUAUGAUUAUUUUGUUGGGGUGAUAAUUAAAUUUAAUAAACUUUUUAUUUUAUUUUACAUUAAUUAAUGAAUUUUUGAUCCUAUAUUUUAGAUUAUUAGAUUAAAUUACCUUAGGGAUAACAGCGUUAUUUUUUUUAAAGUUCUUAUUGACAUAAAAAAUUGCGACCUCGAUGUUGGAUUAAAAUUUAUUUUGGGUGUAGAAGCUUGAAAAUUUAGGUCUGUUCGACCUUUAAAAUUUUACAUGAUCUGAGUUCAAACCGGUUUAAGCCAGGUUGGUUUCUAUCCUUAAUUUUAUUAAAAAUUUUUAGUACGAGAGGACCAUAAUUUUGAAUUAUUAUAAUUUUAUUUAAAAUGAAUUUUAUUAAAUUUGUUA
Molecule: ribosomal RNA, 1374 nt
Filed under: Neodiprion lecontei (redheaded pine sawfly)
Lineage: Eukaryota; Metazoa; Arthropoda; Insecta; Hymenoptera; Diprionidae
Description: 16S ribosomal RNA
Source: RNAcentral